This 497-nucleotide ribosomal RNA is filed under the name uncultured bacterium. Its description in RNAcentral is "partial 16S ribosomal RNA". It matches the Rfam family "Bacterial small subunit ribosomal RNA", at positions 28 to 507 of the family's 1533-position model. The record is from RNAcentral.
GAUGAACGCUGGCGGCGUGCCUAAUACAUGCAAGUCGAGCGAACGGACGAGAAGCUUGCUUCUCUGAUGUUAGCGGCGGACGGGUGAGUAACACGUGGAUAACCUACCUAUAAGACUGGGAUAACUUCGGGAAACCGGAGCUAAUACCGGAUAAUCUUUUGAACCGCAUGGUUCAAAAGUGAAAGACAGUCUGGCUGUCACUUAUAGAUGUAUCCGCGCUGCAUUAGCUAGUUGGUAAGGUAACGGCUUACCAAGGCAACGAUGCAUAGCCGACCUGAGAGGGUGAACGGCCACACUGGGACUGAGACACGGUCCAGACUCCUACGGGAGGCAGCAGUAGGGAAUCUUCCGCAAUGGGCGAAAGCCUGACGGAGCAACGCCGCGUGAGUGAUGAAGGUCUUCGGAUCGUAAAACUCUGUUAUUAGGGAAGAACAUAUGUGUAAGUAACUGUGCACAUCUUGACGGUACCUAAUCAGAAAGCCACGGCUAACUACGUG